AUUUAAAGCUGUUCCACAUUCUGCCACACUGAUGUAGUUCAGGCAGAGGCUGUAAGCUCCUAACCCAAAUCACUGGCUCGAAACAGCUUGAUGCGCAGCGAUGGCAGGUCGUACAAGAGCUCCACGCGAAACCUUUUCUGAAAGCGGUCAACAAAGCUAUUCUCCGGGUCAAGACGAAACCUCAUGGCCCAAAGAAUCACGGUCUGGUCCUGACACAGAUCGAGACCAUGCAGACUGCAGGAGAUUGACUGCAGCAGCUGUGCUGGCCUGAUUGGAUGGACCUGGCCUUGUGCUGGCCUGAUUGGAUGGACCUGGCCCUGUGCUUUCCUUUUAAGUUGGUCAGCGGCACAUUGAGGGAGGUCUUCACUUAAAAACUACCCUUAGAGUGAAGAACAUCAACACGUCAAACAUGAAACCCCUGCAAAGAUAAAAAUAAACAUACUCUGCCCAUGUGCGAUAAAUAUGAUCCAAAAUCAAGAGGAAGUGUCCUGGCUGAUAUGGUCUAAAAGCAGAAGGAGAAAGGGGAGGAGUCAUUGACAGUGCAUGGAAAUUUUCAUUGUGCAAAACUGACUUAAUGUACUGCAGAGAUCUCCCACCUUGGUUCUGGUGAGACCCGAACUAAGAAACCCAUCUGUUGACUAUCAGUGAAACCAGUUGCUUAUUUUAGAGAACCAAGGUAAUGUUUAAAUAGCGUACAUUCAAUUAUAUGGGUCAUUUAUUAGCUUAUUGUUACCCAGAUCAUUCACUUUGGUCAUUGUCUGCUAUUUUGAUGCAUGAGUCCUUGAUAAGUUUGACUCGCUCCUCAUUGCCAGUUUAGCUUAAAUGAUUCUGCUGAAUUACGUCUGUUUCUGCAGUAACCAGGCCAGGGGAACACUGCUGUCAGGUGUAGCAAGAAAAAGCAAGGAUAUCGUGUGUUUCUUUUAUCUUGAAUUAUUUGAUUCUUCUGGUUUACAUGUUAUUUUUUAACUUUUUCAAUAAAGACCACCUUGGUGCAUCAUGUACGUA
This is a non-coding RNA of Paramormyrops kingsleyae, 1005 nucleotides long. The record is from RefSeq and is a predicted model, not a curated record. Lineage: Eukaryota; Metazoa; Chordata; Actinopteri; Osteoglossiformes; Mormyridae.